RNAcentral lists this ribosomal RNA (405 nucleotides) under uncultured bacterium. RNAcentral describes it as "bacterial SSU rRNA". It matches the Rfam family "Bacterial small subunit ribosomal RNA", at positions 976 to 1380 of the family's 1533-position model. The record is from RNAcentral.
AAGUCUUGACAUCCCAAUGAAUACGGGGCAAUGCCCGUAGUACUUCGGUACAUUGGAGACAGGUGGUGCAUGGUUGUCGUCAGCUCGUGUCGUGAGAUGUUGGGUUAAGUCCCGCAACGAGCGCAACCCUUAUGUUUAGUAGCCAGCAGGUAAGGCUGGGCACUCUAGAGAGACUGCCGGGGAUAACCCGGAGGAAGGCGGGGAUGACGUCAAAUCAUCAUGCCCCUUAUGACUUGGGCUACACACGUGCUACAAUGGCGCAGACAAAGAGAAGCGAAGCCGUGAGGCGGAGCGAAUCUCAAAAACAGCGUCCCAGUUCGGAUUGUAGUCUGCAACCCGACUACAUGAAGCCGGAAUCGCUAGUAAUCGCGGAUCAGAAUGCCGCGGUGAAUACGUUCCCGGGUC